GUUUGAAAUCUUGGAAAGAAAUGGACUUGGAAGAACUGCAGUAUUCUACAGCAGUGGGGGAUGGACAAAAAAGGAACACAGAACUUUGGAGAGAGAGGGGGAAGUGAGUUAAUCCAUCAGUUGGGAAAUGAACUUCUGUCUGGAAACACACAUCAGAGCGGUUGGCUGAGGCUAAUUCCCUGAUCUAGUGAUCUCUUUCUCUGUGAUUCCUGAUCUAGAUUUCAUAAGAAGACAAGCCAAUUGGACAGGAGUUUGAAACACAAGCUGUCCACUAAAGAAAAAGAUUUCCAUCAACCUCCUUGAUGUUUGAACUUGGGGACACUCACUAUGCUGCCGGGAACCAGAGUCUCUUACUCUGACCCCAAGGAGUCAGGUGCCCAACACUGAGGUAGUUGAGUGCUACAAACAUGGAAGAAAUAUAUAAAUCAAUGUCAUAGUCGUCAAUGAGUUCACAGUCUGGAAAUAUGAGACUGAUAAGGAAACAAAUGGAGAAAAAUGCAGAGCAGGAGAGCUGGCACUUAAUGAUGGGACUUCAUGUUUAAUGAGUUGACGAUGUGCUUAGCUUCUGAAUCCAGACAAGUUGUAGGAGUUCAGAGGCAGGAGGCAUUCCUGAGAACCUCCACAGUUUGGGGAGCCCUGGGGAGUGCUUGGAUGAGUAGAACUGAAAGGACAUUGGUACGGUGAAGAUAACAGAAGAAAAGAGGUUUAGUUCUAAAGCUAAAUGUUCUAGCAUGGAUGACGUCUGUGACCUCUGAUCCAAGGUUCCUUUGGAAACCCGCCUGCGCUGUGUGCUGGUAAUUAAUUCCACGAUAGUUGUUCAACAUUGUGAGAUGAAAUAUCGUUAUCUAUCUCACUUAUUUUUGUCUCCCGGAUCUAUUUUGGGAAGCAGAUUCUUAGAUCAGCAAUUAGAAAUGUCACUUGCAUUUUCUUUAUGAUUUGCAAAGUGUAUAAUUGAGAAUAGUAAUCAAAUUCUUUGACAACUUCAGCAGUACAAAAAUGGCAAUUAAUUGUAAAUUUUGGAAGGCAUGGAUAAUAUUUGUCUAUUUUAGAACAUCUUGCUGAUCAGCAACAAACCUCUCUCUCUCUCUCUCUCUCUCUCUCUCUCUCUCUCUCUCUCUCUCUCUCUCUCUCUCUCUCUCUCUCUCUCUCUCUCUCUCUCUCUCUCUCUCUCUCUCUCUCUCUCUCUCUCUCUCUCUCUUUCUUUCUCUCUCUCUCUCUCUCUCUCUCUCUCUCUCUCUCUCUCUCUCUCUCUCUCUCUCUCUCUCUCUCUCUUUCUCUCUCUCAACUCCUAUAGUCAGGAUGGACUUUUAAAAGAAAAAAACUUUGUUUAGAAAAGAAGAAAGUAGAUUCAAGGAAAAUGAAUGACCAGGUCAAGCCCACAUAAAUAGUUCAGCUGUCCUCUCUCUAGGACAUCUUUCCCAACGUUUCCAGCCAGAAGUGACUGCUUCCUUCUUCAAUCCCCUCCUAGCACUUCUGCCUCCCUGAAAUUCUCAUUAGCAUUAGGUACUUGUGUCACUCUAGUUCCUAUAUUUCAUGGAAUGGUCAUUCCCUAGCCUUACACCAGCACACAGCAGGAGCUUAAUAAAUACCUGUUGAUUGAUUGUUGAUGGAUUGUG
Molecule: long non-coding RNA, 1616 nt
Organism: Monodelphis domestica (gray short-tailed opossum)
Lineage: Eukaryota; Metazoa; Chordata; Mammalia; Didelphimorphia; Didelphidae
Source: Ensembl